Triticum aestivum (bread wheat) is the source of this 724-nucleotide long non-coding RNA. RefSeq lists it as uncharacterized. The transcript has 3 exons. The record is from RefSeq and is a predicted model, not a curated record. Lineage: Eukaryota; Viridiplantae; Streptophyta; Magnoliopsida; Poales; Poaceae.
GAGCUCCUGCGGCGGUGACCAGCUCGGGUACCUCGCCACGCCUAUAUAUAGGCCAUCUCGAGCCCCUCCUUGCAUUAACAGCGGCCUCAUUGCUAUCCCACACCAUCCCUAGCCUCUCGGCGGAGCUCCAGGAGCUCUCCUCGCUCGUCUCUUCCACCACGGCCGCCGGUCGGCUCCACCUAAAUUUCGGUGAGCCACGCCUCCUCCCUCCGUUACAGCACCACGCGUAGCCUCCCCACUACCCACCAAGCCUCCCACUCCCCUCAACUAGUUGCCGGAGUGGCUGUGGUCGCCGUCCCCAAGAUCGUCCGCCGCCUCCCCUGCUCCCUGUUGCCACGGGCCACGGCCACCCUGCCCUUCCCCUUGCGUGGCUGCUGCACCAGGCGGGUGCGGCACCUUCAUCCGAGGCUGCCAGUGCCCCUACCUCGGCCGGAGAUGGCUUGAGCCGCUGGGGCCAGCGCCGACGUGCGUUCGGCCUCGCCUCUUCUGUUCCUCGUCGGGAGAAAGAAGAAGACAGGGGAUAGAAGGAGUCAAAACCCGGGCCCCACCCCCCAGGGACCUGUUUGUGGAGAAAUCUUUACAGAUUAGUCCCUGGACUUCCACCUCUCGUAUCUUCGCGACCAUAAUUCCGAUUAAGCCCCCUUCGAGAGAGAAACUUUUUCAGCGAUUCGUUCCGCGAGCUUUCCGCACUUCUCCCCGAUGGUUUCUUCAUCCCCAGGCAAGC